UACGUAGGGUGCGAGCGUUGUCCGGAAUUAUUGGGCGUAAAGAGCUUGUAGGCGGUUUGUCGCGUCUGCCGUGAAAAUCCGGGGCUCAACCCCGGACUUGCGGUGGGUACGGGCAGACUAGAGUGUGGUAGGGGAGACUGGAAUUCCAGGUGUAGCGGUGAAAUGCGUAGAUAUCUGGAGGAAUACCGGUGGCGAAGGCGGCAUCCUGGACCGGCAUUGACGCUGAGGAGCGAAAGCCAGGGGAGCAAACGGG
RNAcentral lists this ribosomal RNA (253 nucleotides) under uncultured bacterium. Its description in RNAcentral is "partial 16S ribosomal RNA". It matches the Rfam family "Bacterial small subunit ribosomal RNA", at positions 524 to 776 of the family's 1533-position model. The record is from RNAcentral.